This 69-nucleotide transfer RNA is filed under the name Phenacomys intermedius (western heather vole). RNAcentral describes it as "tRNA-Gly". It matches the Rfam family "tRNA". Rfam says of the family: Transfer RNA (tRNA) molecules are approximately 80 nucleotides in length. Their secondary structure includes four short double-helical elements and three loops (D, anti-codon, and T loops). The record is from RNAcentral. Lineage: Eukaryota; Metazoa; Chordata; Mammalia; Rodentia; Cricetidae.
ACUUUUUUAGUAUAAUAAGUACAUCUGACUUCCAAUCAGUUAGCUCUAGCCCAAACCUAGAAAAAAGUA